UCUCUGGUAAUAUAUUGGUUAGUACACGCGCCUGCCAUUUGCAAUUCGGCGUUCUGAACGCGCAAAAGCUGGGUUCGACUCCCAACCAGAGAG
Non-coding RNA from Armillaria nabsnona, 93 nucleotides. Lineage: Eukaryota; Fungi; Basidiomycota; Agaricomycetes; Agaricales; Physalacriaceae. The record is from the annotation of a GenBank genome assembly.